GCGGCCGUGGUGGAAUGGCAGUCACGCAGCACUUAGGAUGCUGUGGGAGAAAUCCCGUGUGGGUUCGAAUCCCACCGGCCGCAC
RNAcentral lists this transfer RNA (84 nucleotides) under Streptomyces cinnamoneus. RNAcentral describes it as "tRNA-Leu". It matches the Rfam family "tRNA". From Rfam's summary of the family: Transfer RNA (tRNA) molecules are approximately 80 nucleotides in length. Their secondary structure includes four short double-helical elements and three loops (D, anti-codon, and T loops). The record is from RNAcentral. Lineage: Bacteria; Bacillati; Actinomycetota; Actinomycetes; Kitasatosporales; Streptomycetaceae.